UAAAGAUUGCCUCUUCUUGAAAGCAAUUGUUUGGAGAUGAGUUUGCGGACCAUUAGUUUGUUGGUGGGGUAAAGGCCUUCCAAGACUACGAUGGUUAGCUGGUCUGAGAGGAUGAUCAGUCACACUGGAACUGGAACACGGUCCAG
RNAcentral lists this ribosomal RNA (146 nucleotides) under uncultured bacterium. RNAcentral describes it as "partial 16S ribosomal RNA". It matches the Rfam family "Bacterial small subunit ribosomal RNA", at positions 202 to 334 of the family's 1533-position model. The record is from RNAcentral.